GAGCGGCGGACGGGUGAGUAACGCGUGAGGAACCUGCCUCAAAGAGGGGGACAACAGUUGGAAACGACUGCUAAUACCGCAUAAGCCCACGGCUCGGCAUCGAGCAGAGGGAAAAGGAGCAAUCCGCUUUGAGAUGGCCUCGCGUCCGAUUAGCUAGUUGGUGAGGUAACGGCCCACCAAGGCAACGAUCGGUAGCCGGACUGAGAGGUUGAACGGCCACAUUGGGACUGAGACACGGCCCAGACUCCUACGGGAGGCAGCAGUGGGGAAUAUUGCACAAUGGGGGAAACCCUGAUGCAGCGACGCCGCGUGGAGGAAGAAGGUCUUCGGAUUGUAAACUCCUGUUGUUGGGGAAGAUAAUGACGGUACCCAACAAGGAAGUGACGGCUAACUACGUGCCAGCAGCCGCGGUAAAACGUAGGUCACAAGCGUUGUCCGGAAUUACUGGGUGUAAAGGGAGCGCAGGCGGGAAGACAAGUUGGAAGUGAAAUCUAUGGGCUCAACCCAUAAACUGCUUUCAAAACUGUUUUUCUUGAGUAGUGCAGAGGUAGGCGGAAUUCCCGGUGUAGCGGUGGAAUGCGUAGAUAUCGGGAGGAACACCAGUGGCGAAGGCG
RNAcentral lists this ribosomal RNA (614 nucleotides) under uncultured Lachnospiraceae bacterium. Its description in RNAcentral is "bacterial SSU rRNA". It matches the Rfam family "Bacterial small subunit ribosomal RNA", at positions 93 to 723 of the family's 1533-position model. The record is from RNAcentral. Lineage: Bacteria; Bacillati; Bacillota; Clostridia; Lachnospirales; Lachnospiraceae.